UCAACCGUGUCAAUUAUGAUCAUU
Molecule: non-coding RNA, 24 nt
Filed under: Arabidopsis thaliana (thale cress)
Lineage: Eukaryota; Viridiplantae; Streptophyta; Magnoliopsida; Brassicales; Brassicaceae
Source: RNAcentral